Carcharodon carcharias (great white shark) is the source of this 1687-nucleotide RNA transcript. It is a transcript of the gene named storkhead-box protein 1-like, with no coding region annotated. The record is from RefSeq and is a predicted model, not a curated record. NCBI's taxonomy places the organism in Eukaryota, Metazoa, Chordata, Chondrichthyes, Lamniformes, Lamnidae. The transcript is spliced from 3 exons.
GAAAAGCAGUGGCGAACGGAGCGCGCCUGCAGGUUGGGGAGCUGUCAGCGGGAGGCAGAGUCGCACCCUCGCAGCAAGGAAGCAGCAGCAGCAGCCGAGUCAACGGGAGCUGAGAGUGGGAGCGGAGCCGGACAAAGGAGCGGUUUUGCCGGCACAUCCUUUUCACAUUUUCACUCGAGCGGCCGCCGGAUUUUCGGCCAGCCCAAGCUGGGACUGUGGUCCCUCUCCGAUGAGGCGCUGCCUCACCUUGACCAGCACCUUGAGAAUUGUUAUUGAAAGCAGCUCCCUCCGGACAGCGAUCCAUACCAUCAGCGCAAAGAAAUGCAAAGCUUCGAUACCUGUAGGGAUUCAUUCCAGAAGAUUGCAGUAGCAUUCUGCAAAUAGUUCGUCAGUUGCGUUGGUUUCCAAUUUGCAGAAUAUCGAUCGGGGAGUCCGUUCCUUGACCAUGCCACAGGGAAUGGAGAAGUUUCUACAGAUAGCCCCUCACUCCCUGGCUGUGGUGCUGGCUCGGAGCGGCACAGCCAGGGCUGCUGUGGCGGGAACCGAGAACAUUCAGCACCACCACACCGGCUACGAGAUCUUCGCCGACUUUAAAGCCGAGAAUAUGCAGCAUUUCUGGAAUAAGCGAGUGACAGACGCCAUCUCGGAGGCUUUCUUCCUCGGCUGGAUCGACGAGCACGUCCUGCUGAUCCAAGGCAAGGAGUCCCAUUUGGAAGUGCUGAGGGAAGCUUGGAUGAGGAGAUCACUUAAACCUCCCAGGGGAUUCAAUAUAAAGUAUCUGGGUUCAAUCGGUUAUGAAGAUCAUUGUAUAUUCUAUUGAAUACCUCGAAGAAAAUGAUGAAACUUAAAUCCUUAGAAAUUGCCCCACAUAAUAUGUGAUGGUUUUGUUCAUCUUAAGUUUUUAAAACCUGGAUCAUAGCAUUCAGACACUGAUGAGCUGCACAAUAUAGCCACCAAGGGUCACCUAACUCUUGGUCUGUGGACUCAAAAGGACAAAAUGACACAUUCCAGACUGAGAAAUGUCAAUACCCAUAUCCUGAGACCAUCCAAACUGCAUUCCUGACUUGAAUGGGUCGUUCUGAAUCCAGGAAGGUGAUUGUCUCAAACCCUGAGGGUGAAUGUCUGCAAACAAUAAUCUGGGUUACGGCUAAUCUGUGUAGGCCCAACAUCAUGGUUGGAAGGGGGCUGUGAGAAACCAGAUAGUAGGGUAACCGUUUGGUCUCCCUGUUUAUUCCUUAAGUGCUGUCUGCAAAAAGACACAACGACUCAACAACUGCUCAACAGCAGCAGCAGAAUGGGCAGCAACAUCUACGCUUUACGACCUGGAGACUGCAACAUCAUGAGGUCUCCAAGCCUGCUCCUUGUCAAAUCUGCCAACACAGCAAAAUGAUCUCCUGGUAACAAGACUACAAAUAAUUAGCUUUGUGACCUGCAAAAUGUCCAUAUCUUUGAGAGAAUCUUGCAAAGGCUCUGGUGUGCUACUUUGGCUAUUGAAUUCACCUAACUGCACUUCAGGAGUGAAAACCUCUUCUUCACCCGGUUUCCAAGAUGAGCCGAUCACAUGAAUAAUGAACUAUUCUUUUAUUUAUAGCUUGUAAAAUUAUACUUCUCUUUAACUGUAUUUUCCUAGUGUGUGUGGGUGAGUGAGUGAUGUACCAUUAAAUUUUCAGAAUGAAUAUGUGAAUAA